GUAGGUGGCAAGCGUUGUCCGGAAUUAUUGGGCGUAAAGCGCGCGCAGGCGGUCCUUUAAGUCUGAUGUGAAAGCCCACGGCUCAACCGUGGAGGGUCAUUGGAAACUGGGGGACUUGAGUACAGAAGAGGAAAGCGGAAUUCCAAGUGUAGCGGUGAAGUGCGUAGAGAUUUGGAGGAACACCAGUGGCGAAGGCGGCUUUCUGGUCUGUAACUGACGCUGAGGCGCGAAAGCGUGGGGAGCAAACAGGAUUAGAUACCCUGGUAGUCCACGCCGUAAACGAUGAGUGCUAAGUGUUAGGGGGUUUCCCGCCCCCCUUAGUGCUGCAACUAACGCAUUAAGCACUCCGCCUGGGGAGUACGGCCGCAAGGCUG
Molecule: ribosomal RNA, 374 nt
Filed under: uncultured organism
Description: partial 16S ribosomal RNA
Rfam family: Bacterial small subunit ribosomal RNA
Source: RNAcentral